Molecule: RNA transcript, 3967 nt
Organism: Ixodes scapularis (black-legged tick)
Lineage: Eukaryota; Metazoa; Arthropoda; Arachnida; Ixodida; Ixodidae
Exons: 5
Source: RefSeq, a predicted model, not a curated record
UGCGUUUUCCUGUGAUGUGAUUUCGAUGUGUUCGUUCCACGUGUCCGAGCUGCUUCUUCGUUUCAAAUACAUUUGGCGCCGGUGCCUAUUGUUUGAGCCUGUGCUCACGAUGAAAACACGCAUCGCAGAAACCUGAAAGCCCGCCAAAAGAGCUCUAAAAACCGCAUCCCAGACCUGCCGGCAGACUUCCGAGCUAAGCCUGAUUAAACAAAAACGUUUGAUCCGGCGGAAUAAUGUGUUUGAUAUUACAUCCCAUGUCAACAAGGAACUGCGCUGUCUGUCUUCGCCCCCAACAGGUUUUAUUCUUCCGGGUUUUUCAAAUCUUUACCAACCCGCGUCCGAUCGUAAUACCCCGAUCACAACAAAUAGUUGAUCGUGCUCCGAUGGCUCCAAACAUCAGCCGGCAAGGAAGUUACGUUUUUCGCUUCUAUAUUUUGACCCAAGUGAUGGCUGGUCGUGGUUCAUCAGCGUUUGUUUUGAAACUGAUGGGUACCACAAGGCAUGAAGGAGGUGACUUGCAGCAGCAAGGCACUGCAAGCCUUCGCAGCAACUGGCUAGCCAGUGCUGCUCUGUUCUGAACUGCACUGCGUGUCAUGCGGAGGUUUUGUGCAAGCUCUCUGGGCGGCGACGCUAGCCACGAUUGGCUUCGUGGAUGCACAGAAAUACUCAAGGCGCUUGACGUCUGUGGCUCAUCUGUAUUGUUUUUCCCGGUACCACGGCAUGAAGGAGCUGGCCUCCCUCCCUUCCAUCAGCUGCGAGAUACUACAAGCACUGGGCUACAGCUGCAGCUAGCCCAUGGGUACCGUUCUGCGUCCUGUACUGCAUCUAGUUCGAAAGGCCAUGUGAAAGGCAGGUACCGGGGACCAUGACAUCAGUGAGCUGGCUUUCACCUUGUCCAAGGCAGCAGCGGAACACUACGGGCGGGACCCUGGAUCACUGCACCAUGGAUGCCGUCCUGUACCCUGCACGGCACUGCGUGUGGCUUAAGUGGCCAAGCAGAGGGUCAUUGCAUGACUUUUAUGAGGCGCCGCUAGCCAUUCUUGUUGCCACACAGACAUUGAAAUACAUCAAUGGGAUAAAGUAAGGUUCAGAACCAACAUCAGCUACCGUGAGAUCUCUCACCAUCCUUGCGGGGUUGAAAAAUUGGGACUUCAGUUGACAAACCUCGCCCGCCCUCCUGUCCAUCAUCACCUGACCCCAUUCUGCAUAUGUGGGUAUGUGCAAGGGAGCGUGAUCAUGUGGCUGAAGAUACAAGUGUGACCGGCCCAACGAGCACAUAGUUUCCACAGCACUGUCGGCUUAGGGGUGCACGGAAGAUACUGUAUAAACUGGAAUAUAGGUCGACCCCUUAAUUUACAAGUUGCAAGAUGCAAAAGAAGUUUUUAUGGCAAGAAAACGCAACCUUACCUUGGUGACAAAAUUGUCCAAGUAUAUGAAAGGACGAGAAAACACGGCAGAUUUAUUUAAUUGUUUUGCACUCAAUAAAACAGGAAGUAUGCGAGUGUUACUACUCAGAUUCCUCAGAGCCUUCGUCCGACGACGAGUUCACUAACACAAUUUAAAGGGACGAUGCCGUCCCUUCGAAUUGCGCCCUCGAAAGCUCGGAGGCACGAGCAACCUCAACGCCUUUUAUAUGGAUGCUCUCCGACAUCACAGGUAUCGAUCUGGCGCACAGAUCCCGAAUAAAGUUUGCCGCCUUUGUUUCCAAUUCGGGGUACACUGCAGUCCUUCCACGAAAUUAAGUUUUCCUCGCCUUGCUGCACGCCGCCGGUUUUUGUCUCUGGUUUUGCCAGUAGCAUAUGCUUUUCUCCGAUACACUGAACUCUCGCUGCGCUGCAAGAUUCCGGUGGAUCUCUGCAUAGGCGAUUGCCUUGUUCUAAAAGGCUACUGUGAACUGUCUUCUACUUCCGCUCAUUAUUGCUGCGGUAGAUGUAACAAACCAAGGAGCACAAGUAAAAGUUAAUCGUGACCAUCGUGACAAGUGGACGAGUGCUAGGCCAUUGCAAUAUAAAACAAAAUGGCGUCUUCAGGCACUGAGUGUUGCGAGAUUAUUUUUGUUUUUCCGCUAAUGACCGUCAUAUAAGACUAGGGUCGACUUUUUCAGGUCCAAUUUCUAGAAUAAAUUCGACCUAUAUUCCGGUUUAUAUGCUAGUUGUGCAUAGUACUGUGGAAGCCACAGGCUGGGGAGGGGGGGAUUAGCAACUUUUGUCUGAAUGUUGAGCGACGAGCAUCAAGGGCCAAUUUCCUAGGGGGAGAAUGGUGACGUGCGAGUACAAAAAUGAGGAUCCAAGCGCCAUGAGCAAGAGGGGAGUUCCUCCUUUUCCUCCUCUUGAACUGCUAGAGGUAUACUUAUGCCCCUGUACCUUUGGUAACACUGCACAAUUUGUAAGUUGAGGAAAGCUAAGAAGGAAGUUGAAGAAUCGAUUCAUGACCCCUUUAACAUUUACCUACACUAGUUACCUUGCACCAUUAUAUUUUGUUUGAGAAAGCUCUCAUCCUCACCCCUCCCAUAAGGGAUAAAAUCAGAAGUGUAUACAACGAUCGGAAUCUAAAGUGCCACGAAACCUAUUGCUGGACAUUCUUACGGGUUAGUGAUCAAUUUUUGUAUGAAUGAGGCCUUACCAGUGCCUUUGCCUCAAUAGUGUGGUAAAAGGGCAAUUUUCUUGUUUGUGCGCACAAAUUUGUUUUGAAACAUAACUUGCUGGACUACCAAUGCAUGUUUCAAGAUCUCUGUUGUGGUGAAUGUUUUGCUGCCUGUUAUAUUCUUCAAUAGCCAGUAUCGUUUAAGUUCUAGAACUCUAUACAGUAAACUCCCACUUGAGCAAACUUCUAGGGACUCAAAGAAAUAGUUCCCUUAACUAGGAGUCCACUAAACUGAAUAUAUUCACUGGAUUAUGGAACAGCAUAGGGCACAGCAUACAUUGAGUCAAAAGGGUGAAAUGCAAUUUAUGGAGUCAUGUACAUUGAUAUAUACAAAGUGUAUUGCAGUUACGCUGCUGCCUUUCUCAUUUUGAAAAUAGUCAAUAAUUUUCAUUUGCACCGGCGCUCUGAAAGCGCAUGAAGUAACAAAGUUGCCCAGAGAGUAUCUUUUUUUUUUUUUUGCAUAUCCUCUGGCGCAGCUAGUUGCUGUGAGGAAGUCAUACCGCAACGGCACUGUCCACUGGCUUGAAAUAUUCAGUGCAGAGCCGUUCCCUGUUGGGAUUGAACGCAGUUUCUCUUUCAAGCUUCGACUUUUGCUUCACUAACGUUGACAACGUCGACGGUAGCAUCCGAUAGUCCUUCGCAACAUUCACUUGCCUUUGACCGUUGCCCAGACGCUGAAAGUAUUUCAAUUUGUCUGAGAGACAACCGCUUCCAUUUCGUUAUACUUAUUACGUAAGUGGGCGCACAAACUGCCGUUGUUACCCAAAACUAAGAUGGCCGAAAGGAACCAAUAAUAAAGAAAAGAAAAUAUGCACCGCAUGGUUCGUUUUUGUCUACCGCACCGCUGCUGCAAAGGCGGCGGCGGCCAUCAGCUACGCCAGCACUGCAGAGCACAAAACUUUGUUGAACUGAUCACAACAGUAAUCCUGGGUCCACCGAUCAAGUUCGUUGAACUGAAAUAUUCGCUAUUCCGAAAUUCGUUUUUCGUAGAGCAAACAUUUUUGCAUAGAAUGCAAAGGAAAACCACCAUAGAUUUUUGAAAGUUUGUUAUUCUGAAAUACUUGUUAAACCGACAUUUGCUCAAGUGCGAGUUUAUUGCACCCGACUACUGUGCGUUGCCCUACAUGUUCGGGUAAGGUACUGUUUCUGUUUACCUAAUAGGCACUUUCGUUCUCUGCAUAUACACCAUAGGUUUCAAACCACCCUGAAUCGUGGAUCAAGCCUUGCAAGAUGGAAGUUCUCUUUAGGCCCAGCGCCUCUUGAUGGAUCAAGUCUUGUACCCCAUUCCCUCGUGUCUUUCAUAUAAGUAAAUUGUUGGUAUUUC